GGAAGCACCGGCUAACUCCGUGCCAGCAGCCGCGGUAAUACGGGGGGUGCAAGCGUUAUUCGGAAUCAUUGGGCGUAAAGGGCGCGUAGGCGGUUUUUUAAGUCGGAUGUGAAAGCCCGGGGCUUAACCCCGGAAGUGCAUUUGAAACUGAAAGACUUGAGUAUGGGAGAGGGAAGUGGAAUUCCUGGUGUAGAGGUGAAAUUCGUAGACAUCAGGAGGAACACCGGUGGCGAAGGCGACUUCCUGGACCAAUACUGACGCUGAGGCGCGGAGGCGUGGGUAGCAAACAGGAUUAGAUACCCUGGUAGUCCACGCAGUAAACGGUGAACACUAGGUGUAGCGGGUAUUGACCCCUGCUGUGCCGAAGUUAACGCAUUAAGUGUUCCGCCUGGGAAGUACGAUCGCAAGAUUAAAACUCAAAGGAAUUGACGGGGGCCCGCACAAGCGGUGGAGCAUGUGG
This 460-nucleotide ribosomal RNA is filed under the name uncultured delta proteobacterium. RNAcentral describes it as "bacterial SSU rRNA". It matches the Rfam family "Bacterial small subunit ribosomal RNA", at positions 486 to 944 of the family's 1533-position model. The record is from RNAcentral. Lineage: Bacteria; Deltaproteobacteria.